Molecule: long non-coding RNA, 546 nt
Filed under: Homo sapiens (human)
Lineage: Eukaryota; Metazoa; Chordata; Mammalia; Primates; Hominidae
Description: long non-coding RNA NONHSAT189161.1
Source: RNAcentral
CGCGCCUCUCUGUCGUGGCGCGGCUUCCCGCGGUCUUCUCUGCAAAUGGGCUCCGUGGCCUAGCGCCCCCGUCCCCGCCACCCGUGAUCGUGCGCCGAGGCCCGCGAGGGGUCGCCGCCCAGAUCCCACCAGCCAGCAAGCUAAAGCAUGGCGGCCAUCCCCUCCAGCGGCUCGCUCGUGGCCACCCACGACUACUACCGGCGCCGCCUGGGUUCCACUUCCAGCAACAGCUCCUGCAGCAGUACCGAGUGCCCCGGGGAAGCCAUUCCCCACCCCCCAGGCUGACCCGGGUCAUUGGUGGGCCAGCUUCUUUUUCGGGAAGUCCACCCUCCCGUUCAUGGCCACGGUGUUGGAGUCCGCAGAGCACUCGGAACCUCCCCAGGCCUCCAGCAGCAUGACCGCCUGUGGCCUGGCUCGGGACGCCCCGAGGAAGCAGCCCGGCGGUCAGUCCAGCACAGCCAGCGCUGGGCCCCCGUCCUGACCUGAGCGGUUACCACCAGCCCCAGGCCUGCGGAGGCGCUAGUCCACCAGAGCCCCUCCCCGCCC